UGGAGCUAGUCGGGGUGCGAUGCGGAGCGAGCGACUAGCGGAGGGAACCCGCUCCUCUCCCCAGGGUUGCAAGGACAGAAGCCGGCGAUGCACAGAGGGAGUUCUCGCGGUCUUGCCCAACCGUUUCUCAUAGGCAAGAGAGAAACAGAUGCCUGCAAGAAAAUAAUAUACCCACCAGUUAAGUAAGCUGCUUCAUCUGUCAUUUUUAUGAAAGGAUGUCAUGGUUGGACUGAGCAAAAUUGCCUACAAAAACAUUUUGGAAAAAAAAUCAGAGUUCCCAGGAAAUGAAAGCAGCUGAGGGACUACGUGAAUAAUAGCAAAAUAUGAAAGGCACUGGCAGCUUUUGAAUUGGCACCCCAUUUCAGGCCUCCCGGCCCUGGGAAACAAAUUGGAUGAUGAUUACACCCAGAGAUUCAGAUAUUCCCCUACCUGGUAGUUCUCCAGUAGAUCUCAUUGACCUAACUUUAUGAAGAACCAUCAGCCAAAUCAGACUCAAAUAUCAUCUGAGUGGAAGAAUAACCUAUGGUAGAACCUUAGGAGAACCAAAGUUUUCCGGGUGGCCCCACAAGCUUUAACACCAUGAUCUACUAGUCCUGUUGGGUUGGCACACAUCAUAUCUAUAACUGGAAGGAGCUAGAAAGCCUAUCUAGUUCAACUCCUUCAUUUUACUGAUGAGGAAACUGAAACCCCAUGAAGUUAUGUGAUUUGCCCAAGGUGAUACAGGUUUCAAACAUCAAAGGUGGGAUUUGAACCCAGAUCUUCUAACUCCCAGAAACUGAACUUCUUUCCAUUGUCACACAUCAUUUGCUGAUCAGGGUAUUUACCUCAAUAUCUAUUCACACACUUGGUCAUUAUGGAGAAAAUAUCUUAAUAAAAUCAUGCUGAAGUGUGAGAGUAAACAAAAGGGUAAUGAAUAAGAAUUGUCAGUGAAUUACUGACAGUGAGUACUGAUCUUGAAGUACUCUCACUCCAAGUUUCUUCUUCUGGGGUUUUGUUCCACUUUUUAAAAAAGUUUAUUUUAAAAAUUUUGAGGUUCAAAUUCUCCCCCUUCCUCUAGUCAUUCUCCCACCCACUGAAGCAAGAAAUAUGACCAUUAUACAUGUGAAGUCAUGCAAAAAUUUUUUUCCUUAUCACACAUGCUGUCCCCCAAAGUGAGAAGAAUAAAAUGAAAAAAUAUGCCUUUAUCUGUAUUCAGAGUUCUUAAGUUCUCUCUCUGGAAUUUUUUAUCAUGAAAGUUCAGUUUUAAGCUUUACUAGUUUGCAUAUAAUAUAUUAAAUAACAAAUAUGUGUGCAAUCAUGCAUAUGCAUCUUGGUGGGUACUACAGAUUGGCAGAAAGUUGGAUCUUGAUUUAAAUACUAAGAGGGUAUUGUGUUGGAUUGCUUUCAGGAAGUUGCAUGACACCUUCAAUGGCUCACAAUUACUCAUUGCUUCCAAAGCCAAUUUUAUAAACUACAGUUUCCCGGUGAUACUAUAACUCUGCAAUUCCACAUUCUUAAAAGAAUAGAAAGUCCAGAUGGUCCAAAGGGCAGCAAAAAUAUAGGGAGUAGGUUUUUCCACAUUAUACAUGAUGGCUUGUAUAUGGGAAGUGACAUGCAACCAUGUAUCAUCUGAAGAUACAAUUUUCUCAUUUAACAAGUUCAAGGGAUAACAGAUGGACAAUGUAGGUGCUAUACUGGAGUGCAUCACAUAUUAAAAGAGUAAGGGAAAGGCCUCCCAUGGAAUAGGUGGCUCUUACAUGGAUGACUUACAAAUAGAAAUGAGCAAGAAUCUUGUUAAAGAAGAAGACAUAAAGGAGCUGUGAACUCUUCUAGUGAAGAAAUAUUCAUAUUAAUCAAAUCCAUUGAGUUUCCAAGUAUGCAUGAAUUUUAUAAAGACAUAUACCUGUCAUUGCAGAAAACAGAGGGUUGUUUUUUCCUCACCAAUCCGUACAAGGCAUUGUCUUCAACACAGUUUGCUAACUAAAAUUAAUUGAAUCAAAAAUAUUUCCCAACAAACGACUUCAUAUUUUAUCCAAAAACUGUUCUGCUUGGCUCAAUUCAACUUGAGAACAUUUUUUGGGGAAAAUGAUCCCAUUGUGAAAACUCAAGGAAACCAACAUCAAUGAAAGCAACUUUUAUUUGCUAAGCAAAUUGAUAAAUAGUAUUGUUUGGUAUUUUAUUCAAAAUUACUUUGCCACAAAUUUAGUGAUUCAGUUAGAAAUAUUUGAUAUAGAAUCAGGAUAGAUACAACUUUGAACCCUGGUAGGACCAUGUGACCAUGAUCAAAUGACUUAUGGACCUCAGUUUCCGCAUCUGUAAAAGCAUAAUUAUAAUUUAUCUGCUUUAUAAGGAUGUCAUGAGGAAAACACUAGGUAAUGUUGAAAACAUUAUGUAGAAAUGUGAUUUACUUAGGAAACAGUUUUGGUUUUCGAGGGGUAAUGCAACAGUUUGAUGAAGGAUCAGUGCGUGACAGGGAAGCUCUGUUUAUUUGUUUCUUUCCAGCCUUUCCAAUAAAAAGGAAAUCAGAAGGGGGAGGGUAUUUUGGGAAUUAGAGAAGAGAAAAGUCACUUUGAAAGAAAUUAGACUCCCAUCAAAGAAGAUGCAGGGCAUUGAGUACAUGCAAGAUACCCUGAUAGAGGCUGAGAGAACAGCCAAAUACAUUCAGGAAGUCCAUAGUUUGCUUAUGAGAGAAGCUAUGUAGAGCACAAUUGCUAGACAUAGUACAGUUUCUUCCUCUCUCAC
Dromiciops gliroides (monito del monte) is the source of this 2721-nucleotide long non-coding RNA. RefSeq lists it as uncharacterized. The record is from RefSeq and is a predicted model, not a curated record. Lineage: Eukaryota; Metazoa; Chordata; Mammalia; Microbiotheria; Microbiotheriidae. The transcript has 3 exons.